CUACGGGGUGCAGCAGUGGGGAAUAUUGGACAAUGGGGGAAACCCUGAUCCAGCAAUGCCGCGUGUGUGAAGAAGGCCUGCGGGUUGUAAAGCACUUUCGGUUGGGAGGACUGCUUCUAGCACUAAUAUUGUUGGAAGUUGACGUUACCUUCAGAAGAAGCACCGGCUAACUCCGUGCCAGCAGCCGCGGUAAUACGGAGGGUCAAGCGUUAAUCGGAAUUACUGGGCGUAAAGCGCGCGUAGGCGGCUAGAUCAGUCGGGUGUGAAAGCCCCGGGCUUAACCUGGGAACUGCAUCCGAUACUGUCUAGCUUGAGUACAGGAGAGGAGAGUGGAAUUCCACAUGUAGCGGUGAAAUGCGUAGAUAUGCGGAGGAACACCAAUGGCGAAGGCAGCUCUCUGGCCUGAUACUGACGCUGAGGUGCGAAAGCGUGGGGAGCAAACAGGAUUAGAUACCCUAGUAGUC
RNAcentral lists this ribosomal RNA (464 nucleotides) under uncultured bacterium. RNAcentral describes it as "partial 16S ribosomal RNA". It matches the Rfam family "Bacterial small subunit ribosomal RNA", at positions 339 to 795 of the family's 1533-position model. The record is from RNAcentral.